UACGUAGGGCGCAAGCGUUAUCCGGAAUUAUUGGGCGUAAAGAGCUCGUAGGCGGUUUGUCGCGUCUGCCGUGAAAGUCCGGGGCUCAACUCCGGAUCUGCGGUGGGUACGGGCAGACUAGAGUGAUGUAGGGGAGACUGGAAUUCCUGGUGUAGCGGUGAAAUGCGUAGAUAUCGAGAGGAACACCUGCGGCGAAGGCGGGUUGCUGGGCCGACACUGACGCUGAUGCGCGAAAGCCAGGGGAGCGAACGGG
This 253-nucleotide ribosomal RNA is filed under the name uncultured bacterium. RNAcentral describes it as "partial 16S ribosomal RNA". It matches the Rfam family "Bacterial small subunit ribosomal RNA", at positions 524 to 776 of the family's 1533-position model. The record is from RNAcentral.